UGGGUAAGAGAGUAGGUGAGAGGGGAGUAGAAUCAGGUGUGUAGCGAAAAAUGUAGUAGAUAUCUGGAAUAUACCGAUGAAGAAGGCAGCUCCCUGGCAUCAUGACGAUCUGAGGUGAAAAAGCGUGAGCAGCAAACAGGAUUAGAUACCGUAGUAGUCCACGUAGUAAAUGAUGUCUACCAGUCGGUGUGUCUGUUGAAGGGUUUGUGGAGCAGUUAACGCAAUUAGUAGACCGCGGGAGGAGUACGGCCGCAAGGUUAAAACUCAAAUGAAUUGGGGGGGGCCCCCACAAGCGGUGGAGCAUGUGUUUUAAUUUGAUGCAAGAAGAACAACCUUACGUGGUCUUGAGUUACACAUAAUUCACUAGAGAUAGAGUACCUUCUUGAGGAAGUAUGAUACAGGUGCUGCAUGGUUGUCGUCAGCUGUUGUGGUGAGAUGUUGGAAUUAGUCCCGCAACGAGCGCACCCCUUUUCCUUAGUCACCAGCACUUGGGGUGGGAUCUAUAAGGAUACUGCCAGAUACAAAGGGGAGGAAGGGGGGGGAGAUGUCAUGUUAUCAUGCCCCUUACGCCCAGGUACACACACGUGACACAAGGGUUGGCACAAAGGGGCGAUACACAGAGAUGGAAUGAAUAUCUCAAAAAGCCAAUUAUUGUCCGGAUUGGAGUCUGCAACUCGACUCCA
This 683-nucleotide ribosomal RNA is filed under the name Moraxella pluranimalium. Its description in RNAcentral is "bacterial SSU rRNA". It matches the Rfam family "Bacterial small subunit ribosomal RNA", at positions 634 to 1320 of the family's 1533-position model. The record is from RNAcentral. Lineage: Bacteria; Pseudomonadati; Pseudomonadota; Gammaproteobacteria; Moraxellales; Moraxellaceae.